UGACGCAGGAAGUUUGAAUCUACAGUAGGUAACUUGACUUGAAGGAGAUCGCGCGAAAAGGUUAUUACGUGUAAUUACGGAAGGAAUUCAGGCUACAAACGGUUGCUCUGCAUAACAAUUUGUAGUAAUUAAUAAGUGCCUAGCUGGAAUGGGAACAAGCUCUUACGGUGUUUAUGAAGAAAGAUGUGAAGAAAGGAAUAUUUAUGCUCAAAACAAGGCUGACGGCUGAACGUAAAUAAAGGCUUCUGAAACAUC
Long non-coding RNA from Gadus morhua (Atlantic cod), 255 nucleotides. RefSeq lists it as uncharacterized. The record is from RefSeq and is a predicted model, not a curated record. NCBI's taxonomy places the organism in Eukaryota, Metazoa, Chordata, Actinopteri, Gadiformes, Gadidae. The transcript is spliced from 2 exons.